Small nuclear RNA from Salvia splendens (bonfire salvia), 153 nucleotides. RefSeq annotates it as U4 spliceosomal RNA. NCBI's taxonomy places the organism in Eukaryota, Viridiplantae, Streptophyta, Magnoliopsida, Lamiales, Lamiaceae. The record is from RefSeq and is a predicted model, not a curated record. The transcript has a single exon.
AUCUUUGUGCAUGGAGCAAUGACGCAGCUAGUGAGGUUUUAACCGAAGCGCGUCUAUUGCUGGUUGAAAACUAUUUCCAAAACCCCUCUUCGGCCUAGGCUAAACUUUGGCCGUCGUGAAUUUUUGGAAGGGCUUCCCUUUUAUGGUAGAGCC